Long non-coding RNA from Mauremys mutica (yellowpond turtle), 783 nucleotides. RefSeq lists it as uncharacterized. Lineage: Eukaryota; Metazoa; Chordata; Testudines; Geoemydidae. The record is from RefSeq and is a predicted model, not a curated record. The transcript is spliced from 6 exons.
AAAGAUUAGUUAGGAACAGUUUCCAGUACUGUGGAAAACAUGGCUGAGUCCUCUUCUAGUGUCGGGUUCCUGGGCUAGUGGGUGGAGGAGAAGCAAUAGACAUGAUAUAUUGAUUUUGUUACUUUAUUUUUUAAAACAAACCUACUAUUGUUGCAUCGCAAGAGCUCAGACGUGCUGUCUGGUUUCCAGCAACAGUGAUUUAAGGACACAGGAAUACUGCAAAUCCACACUACAAAAGAAGCAAGAGUGACAGUCCCCAUGUGGAGGGUUGGGUGUAUUAUAAUUAAAGGCAGCGAAGAAUACAAAUUGAUCAACCACUCUGAACUCAACUUUGAGAGAAUUCUUCAUGAAUCUGAACAGAACUCCAGGUGUCAGCUUUACAGAUUUCAACUUUGCAAAACUGGUAAUUAAAAAGGUGCAAAGGCUUGCCAUCACAACAGUAGAAUAGACUCUAAGUCCUACAGAACCUAAGAAGCCAACCUUGAAUGAUGGAUAAUAAGAGGGAACAAGAAUGAAGAGGCUCAGAUGAAGCCUUCAUGAAUCUUGUUUAUGCGGUAUGUUUACGUAGGACUGCUGCCAUCUUCUUGUAUACAUUUAAACAGUACAACAUCCUCAUCUUGCCACCCUCUUAAAAUGAACGGAAAGCAUUCAGUUUUGUCAAAUCUGCAUGGAACAUGAGUGAUAGAUGCACACCACAAUGACAAAGAGGAAAAAUUUUAACCUGGAAAUGCAAGUGAAAACAGUUACUUAGAAUUUUAGGGUUAUGAAGAGAGAUUACCUACA